Molecule: long non-coding RNA, 2754 nt
Filed under: Nicotiana tabacum (common tobacco)
Lineage: Eukaryota; Viridiplantae; Streptophyta; Magnoliopsida; Solanales; Solanaceae
Description: long non-coding RNA (NTAB_LNC002500)
Source: RNAcentral
GGAUCAAAAUCUCACCUAUCAACCGGAAUUCUCCAAAAUAUUAACUUUGCCAAUUCAAGCCAAAUCCUUCCACGGACUUCCAAAAUGCAUUUCGAUCGCGCUCCUAAGUCAUAAAUCACCCAAUGAAGCUAUCCAAAUCAUAAAAUUUCCGAUCCGAGCUCAUAUACAAAUAAGUCAACUCUUAGUCAAACCUUUCAAAUUCAAAGCUUUUAACUGAGACUGUUCCUUCAAAUUCAUUCCGUUUUUUCCUGAAAACCAAAACCAACGAUCUACAUCAGUCAUAAUACGUUACACGGGGCAAGUCAUGCCACGGAACUGGCGAUCAAAGUGCAAAAGUUCAAAACAACCGGUCGGGUCGUUACAUCCUCCCCCACUUAAACACACGUUCGUCCUCGAACGUGCCCAUAGUUGUUCUAGAAGCCAACCAAUUUCUGAAUAACUUUACCAUGCAUAUACCCGGGGGGUGAUCCCACGUUACCCUACCUUAUAUAGGUUCGAUAACACAAUAUAACUGAAAUUUCACAAUCCAUCCUAGUCCAUAAACUAUAGAACCACAUUUCUGUUUCUAAAAUCCUCAAUACGAUCAGAACCUCACACCUAUACUUUGAAUAGACCCGAACUAGCUGUAGUAACUCAUGCCUGCAACCUCAAGUGCAGUUAUCCGAUAUACCACGUAACUCAAACACAUAUAGCGAUAACUUCCAUUCACAGCAGCUGCACACAACACCUGAAUACCGGUAGAAACCUCUUAUCAAUUAAAGUCUCAUUCCAACACAUCUAUAUACUGACAAUGAUAAAUGAAACACACAAUAAAUCAUAACCAUCUCUCAGACCAGUCAUCCAUAAGGUUACUUCUCCUUUGGCAAGGACCAUAGCAAAUUUCUGAACCGAACCUCGAUAUUUACCCAUCAAACAUGCUGAAAUCGAAUCUGUUUGUAUUUAUUAAUGAUCCCCAACGAUCUCCUCUAAUCCAACACAUUACUCCGGUGACAUGACACAUCCAUACAUACCUAAGCCACAACUUGCACAAUACACGCAUCAAUACGCAACAAUUCGAGCAUACUCAAAUCACGAAAAUGACUCAAAUGAAAGAGCUGAACCUCAAGUUCAUUAGUACCACCACAAUACAAGACUGAGAACCCGUCUCACAUCAUAGGAACAGAACACACGAAUCUAACCUGCAAGGUCAUACCUCCACAUAUAUUCACUACAAUGCGCGACCUUAUUUAAAGACUGCUCCACAUGGAACUACCUUAAGUCAAUAUGCUCGAAAUCGACAACCACGCACAAUUUGAUAUUUGGAACCAAAGCAAUUCAUCAUACUCACGAUGAAGCAAAUAACAUACACCACGCAUACCCGAUAGGACAUGACCGAUACGCCGUUCACCGAGCAACACCAAAUUACUAUUCCUGCUCGACUUCCAUUAUGAAACUCCGAUAGAACCGCACCAUAGGUGCCUAUAACCAAUAGAUCGUAUCAUCUCACAACCUCUAAUACCCAAUCAUUCCACUAUAGAUACUCUAAAAUUUCCUUGUGCCACCAAGCAAACCCGAAUAUCACCAGUCGAUCUAAAAAGAAGGUGCCGCAAUACUACCGAAGUGUUAUCAACUUAAUAACAUUGCCCUUUUACUAAAACAUAGACUCUCGUCAAAUCAUUUCCAAUUAGUGAGAACACUUACCCCGUUGUUUUCUCUAAAAAUCUCUCGAAAAUUGCCUCUCCCCGAGCUCCAAUUUGGUAAAAAUGAAAAAUGGGCUCCCAUUUUCCAGAACUUAACAUUCUGUCCGGUAUUGUUCAUACUGUUCACGACUGUUCAUGGGGUACUAUCCGGUAAAAAUUGCAGCAACUUUUCUUUUCAAUAAAAAGACUCUAACUCCAUCAUACGAACUCGGAAUUCGAUGAUUCUUGUUCCUAUGAGUCACAAAUAAUAAUACAAACAUAUCCCUUCAGUAGAAACUCAAUUCGGAGCUCAUUUGCUCAGUUCAAUACUCAUUUCGCUCGUUAAACAAUUAACUCAUGUUUCGUGUCAAAAACCCAAUCACGACUUGAUGAAAUUAGACCAAACUUUCCAUAUCAGUCCUAUAAUUCAUUAUCAAAAUUCUGAAAGUCUCGAAGUCAAAUUUCGAUCUCUAGAACUAAAAAUGGAUCUUUGGAUCGUUACAUGCUUAUGCUCAAAACGGCAAAAUCUUCCAAAAACUCUUCCAAAACUUAUCCGAGACUCAUGGGACCCCGAGCAAACAUGCCAACACACCCCAUAACAUAAUUCAAACUUGUUCCAACCUUCUAAAUGCUCAAAACAAUAUCAAAACAUCAAAUCGCCCUCGGAUUCAAGCCUAAGAAUUCCAAAACAUCCGAAAUCUGAAUUCGAUCAAAAGGUCGACCAAACGACGUCCAAAUGACCUGAAAUUUUGCACACACAUCAAAAAAUGACAUAACAAAGCUAUAACAACUCUCAAAAUGCCAUUCCGACCCUCGGAUCAAAAUCUCACAUAUCAACCGAAAUUCGCCAAAUUAUUAACUUUGUCAAUUCAAGCCAAAUCCUUCCACGGACUUCCAAAAUGUAUUUUGAUCGCGCUCCUAAGUCAUAAAUCAUCCAACGAAGCUAUCCAAAUCAUAAAAUUUCUGAUCCGAGCUCAUAUACAAAUAAGUCAACUCUUAGUCAAACCUUUCAAAUUCAAAGCUUUUAACUGAGACUGUUCCUUCAAAUUCAUUCCGAUUUUUCCUGAAAACCAAAACCAACGAUCUACAUCAAUCA